ACUCAUUACUCCAACAUAAGUUUCCGCUUCCCAUGGUAAACAAAAACGGCACAAAGCGAGCGACAACACAACACAACACAAGUUCCCGCGUAGUGAGAAGAGAAGGACGAUGACAGAGAACAACGAGAAUGCUGAAAUCCAAAUCCGUGCCCUAACCGGCGAAUCCAUCAUUCUUCCCAUCACUCCCACCACAACCGUCCAACACCUCAAGCUUCUCCUCAACCGCUCUUUCCCUCCGGCCACCACCUCCCCCAAUUUCCACCUCUUUUUCAAGGGAGACAAAUUGCGAUUGCAGACUCAAAUCGGCUCUUUCCCCAUCCAACACGGCGAGUUUCUUGUCCUCGUUCCCUUUGCCAAGAAGGAAAAGGAACCUUCUCGAACCCACGAAUCGGACACGGUUUCGAAUGUUCCAACCUCUACUACUCUCGCGGACUCCACGUGGUCCACCAUAAAGGAGGAUUUGUCACUUUUACACGACGACGACACCACUGAGAACUGCGACAAUGCCUCUAAUUCCGAGUCAAAAAAAGAGGAAAUGUUGCAGACACAAUCCAUAGCGGGUUUGGGUUCUGAGAAGCAGAUAGAGCUUCCAUAUCAUCUCAUAUUAGACACAUUGCAAGAUAGUAGUGAGGGAGUUCUUGGAGAGCAUAAUUGCGAGGUUUUCGUGAAGGUUUUGGAGUCUGUGAAUUGCUUAUCGGACCUGCCUCUCGGACACUGCAAGUUGUUGAAACAAGCUUGUGAAAAAAGAGGUGGUGGUGGUGGCUUGAGAAAACGUGUCAGUGAUGCUGCUAUGUGUAUUUGUUCACCGUGGUUGAAGAUAGUCGUGAAGGCGUUUGCAUUUGUGAACAUUUUUUCCACGUUUCUUUAUUUGCAGCGUAGGGAAUUGACCUUAGUUCUGCUGGAAGAGGCGCUUAGCGAGCUUGCGAAGUUUGGGGUUAAACUUGGCCUUGAUGACAUAAAGCUUCUUUCGCUACUUUGUCCUCAUCUGGUAUGUUUUGGAGAUGAAGUAGAAAAGACAAAUUUUGGUGAUGUCAUUGUUGUUAACAAUGCAACUGGCAAUGAUGAUCAAGUUGAAGACAAUCCUAAAAGAGUGCGCAAGUGGUUGUAUGUUUCAAAGAUUGUCAGUACAUUGAAGAGAAGGGAUAGCUCUUUCAGAAAAAGUUUAGGAUGGGCUUUUGAGCAGCUUCCGUUUGAAUUUGGAGAUGAGAUGACUGUGGGAAUUUCCUUGGAAGAGCUGCUUGCAGCUGUCAAGGACCAUGAUUUUGUAGGAAAAGAAGACAAAUUAAAACGUGUAAAGAGAAGCAAAACUACCUCAAAACCUGGCUUAAACAAUAUUGGGUGUCAUGAUACAAAGACAUUACUGGCUGUGGACAUGGUUGAUCAUCUUAAGAAAGGAAUUGGAUCUGAAGGACAGAUUGUGCAUAUUGAAGACAUAUGUGCCAGAAAAGCGAUUUACAGUGAGAUCCCAAUUGAACUAUCAGAGAAAAUGAGAUCUGUGCUGAAGUGUAUUGGAGUUUCCAAAUUUUACAGUCACCAGGCAGAGUCUAUACAAGCUUCCCUUCAUGGCAACAAUGUUGCUGUGGCUACAAUGACAUCUAGUGGCAAAUCCCUUUGCUAUAACCUACCAGUUCUAGAAGUGUUGUCCAAUAAUUCUUCUUCAUCUGCUCUGUACAUAUUUCCCACAAAGGCAUUGGCUCAAGAUCAACUAAGAGCUUUGUUACACAUGACAAAAGGAUUAGAUAUUGACUUAAAUAUUGGAAUAUAUGAUGGGGACACUUCUCACAAUGAGAGGAUGUGGCUACGUGAUAAUUCUAGAUUGUUGAUCACAAAUCCAGAUAUGUUACACAUAUCAAUCUUGCCCCACCAUCAACAAUUUUGUCGGAUUUUAUCAAACCUAAGGUUUGUGGUAAUUGAUGAAACUCAUACUUACAAGGGAGCAUUUGGAUGUCACACUGCACUUAUAUUGAGGAGGUUAAAACGACUCUGUUCACAUGUAUAUGGAUCUGUUCCUUCUUUUGUUUUUUCUACUGCAACUUCUGCAAAUCCUCGGCAGCAUUCUAUGGAACUUGCAAAUUUAUCUACUCUGGAGCUAUUUCAGAAUGAUGGAAGUCCAUCUACAAGGAAACUUUUUGUCCUUUGGAAUCCUGCUUUGCGUCCAAAAGCUAUCAUUAAAAAGACUCAGUUUUCUAAGAGUACUGAUGAGCUGGCAGAUGAAAGUGCAAAUUUUGUUCGCUCAAGCCCGAUUGUGGAUGUUUCACGCCUUUUUGCAGAAAUGGUUCAGCAUGGUCUUCGCUGUAUUGCAUUUUGUAAAUCACGGAAACUUUGUGAGCUUGUUUUAUCCUAUGCACGUGAGAUUCUUCAUGAGACAGCCCCGCAUCUGGUGGAUUCCAUAUGUGCAUAUCGUGGUGGCUACAUUGCAGAGGAAAGAAGAAAAAUAGAGAGUUCAUUUUUUGGUGGUAAAAUAUGUGGUGUUGCUGCAACUAAUGCUCUUGAGUUGGGCAUUGAUGUUGGAGAAAUUGAUGCCACUCUGCAUCUAGGAUUUCCUGGUAAUAUUGCAAGCUUGUGGCAACAAGCUGGUAGAGGUGGGAGGAGAGAUAGACCAUCUCUUGCUGUCUACGUUGCAUUUGGUGGGCCUCUUGAUCAAUACUUCAUGAAACAUCCCAAGAAACUCUUUGAAAGACCAAUUGAAUGUUGCCAUGUUGAUUCCCAAAACAAGCAGGUUCUUGAACAACAUUUGGUCUGUGCAGCUCAUGAACACCCGUUGAGUGUGAACUAUGAUGAGCAAUAUUUUGGUCCUUGCUUGGAGAGUGUCAUAAUUUCUCUAAAAGCUAGAGGAUACUUGAGUUCUGUUCUAUCAUCUGAUUCUUCUAGAAUAUGGAACUACAUUGGUCCAGAGAAAUUACCCUCACACGCAGUCAAUAUCCGAGCAAUUGAAACUUUAAGAUACAGUGUCAUAGAUCAGAAAAAAAAUGAAGUUCUUGAAGAGAUAGAGGAAAGCAAGGCAUUCUUUCAGGUAUAUGAAGGUGCUGUGUAUAUGUACCAGGGGAAAACCUAUUUGGUUGAAAAAAUAGAUCUAUCUAACAAAACUGCUUUCUGCAAAGAGGCUGAUCUAAAGUAUUAUACAAAGACUCGAGAUUACACUGAUAUUCAUGUCAUUGGGGGUAAUAUUGCUUAUCCAGUCAAGGUCGAAACCAACAUGUUUCCAAAAACAAAUGCCCGGGUUGAUGUAUGCAAAGUAACAACUACUUGGUUUGGCUUUUAUCGUAUUUGGAGAGGAAGCAAUCAAAUCUUUGAUGCCGUUGAUCUCGCACUUCCUCAAUACUCAUAUGAGUCACAGGCAGUUUGGGUUCCUGUGCCACAGUCAAUAAAAGAAGCAGUAAGCAAGCAAAAUUAUGAUUUCCGUGGAGGUCUGCAUGCUGCUUCACAUGCAAUUUUACAUGUAGUGCCUUUACAUAUCACGUGCAACUUGUCUGACUUGGCUCCUGAGUGUCCAAACCCUCAUGAUAGCCGAUAUUACCCUGAAAGAAUUCUAAUAUAUGAUCAACAUCAUGGAGGGUGUGGAAUUUCAGUACAGGUUCAACCCUAUUUCACAAAGUUCCUGGCAGCUGCACUAGAGCUUCUCACAUGUUGCUGCUGCUCAGCGGAAGUAGGUUGCCCUAAUUGCGUUCAGAGCUUUGCUUGCCAUGAGUAUAACGAGGUUUUACACAAGGAUGCAGCCAUCAUGAUCAUCAAGGGUAUUCUGGAUGCAGGGAACUAGUAAUUCAAAGAAUGUGCUUUGGUUAUUCUUAAGGCAAGUUAGGGAAAAAGCUCUUAUGAAGUUUUCCUCCAAACAGUGAAUAAGGCAUCAUGUGGAAGGUAUGCGCUGAAUCUAGAAUCCAGUCAUCAUCAUUGACAUUAGACUAAACAAAGAGAACAUUUCCAACAUCAGAUUCUUUUAAAGCCACUACUGCUCCACCAUACAAUGAAGAAUUUGCUUUGUCUUCUUGAGCUCCAGGUAGUUUCUCUAUUAGUGCCUUUCUCUCUUGCAAUUAUGGCAUUUGUUAUUGUUCUUAUGUUUGUUGCGCGAUUUAGACACCUUUUUUGGAAAGUUUUCUUCCCUUUUCUCAAUUCUUCCUCUUACCAUUAAACCCUCACCUAAGCUAGUACCACCACCAUAUAAAUUGGUAAUUGGCCUUUUCAGAACAAGUUGGUCCUCAUCAUCCACCGCAACAUCAAUAGUUCUCAAACUAAGAACAAUACGAUUGAAAUUAUCUAUAUGUUUAUGAAUUGAUUCACCUUCAUGCAUUUGCAUGGUAUAUAAUUUUUUCAACAAACAGAGAUAGUUAUGGAGAGACUUUGUCAUGCAUCAACUUUCAAGGUUUGCCCAAAGCUUGUUGACAAUAUUUUCUCUAGAGGCUUCUUCUAAAACUUUAUCACCAAGCGAUAACAAUAUUAUAAUAUGCAUCUUUUUCACUAUCACCUUGAUUGCAGAUGUUAGACAAUGCCAACUCACAUUUUUGUUGCAUGAGAAGAGCGAGCAACUUCACUCACCACAUGUUGAAGUUAUUUUUCCCUAUAAAUUUCUUAACGUCAAACUUCAUAGGUGUAUAUCUCUAAUACCAGUUUUUAUGAUAAAUUGCCUUUGAUGUAGAAAUUUAAAUAUACUAAAUAACUAGAAUACAUAAGAAUCUCUUAUUUAUGAAAAAAGAAUUACAAAGUGGAAU
Molecule: RNA transcript, 4703 nt
Organism: Glycine soja
Lineage: Eukaryota; Viridiplantae; Streptophyta; Magnoliopsida; Fabales; Fabaceae
Exons: 28
Source: RefSeq, a predicted model, not a curated record